GACGAACGCUGGCGGCGUGCUUAACACAUGCAAGUCGAACGGAAAGGCCCUGCUUUUGUGGGGUGCUCGAGUGGCGAACGGGUGAGUAACACGUGAGUAACCUGCCCUUGACUUUGGGAUAACUUCAGGAAACUGGGGCUAAUACCGGAUAGGAGCUCCUGCUGCAUGGUGUGGGUUGGAAAGUUUCGGCGGUUGGGGAUGGACUCGCGGCUUAUCAGCUUGUUGGUGGGGUAGUGGCUUACCAAGGCUUUGACGGGUAGCCGGCCUGAGAGGGUGACCGGCCACAUUGGGACUGCGAUACGGCCCAGACUCCUACGGUAGGCAGCAGUGGGGAAUAUUGCACAAUGGGCGGAAGCCUGAUGCAGCAACGCCGCGUGCGGGAUGACGGCCUUCGGGUUGUAAACCGCUUUCGCAUGUGACGAAGAGUGAGUGACGGUAAUGGGUAAAGAAGCACCGGCUAACUACGUG
This 468-nucleotide ribosomal RNA is filed under the name uncultured bacterium. RNAcentral describes it as "partial 16S ribosomal RNA". It matches the Rfam family "Bacterial small subunit ribosomal RNA", at positions 28 to 507 of the family's 1533-position model. The record is from RNAcentral.